RNAcentral lists this ribosomal RNA (526 nucleotides) under uncultured bacterium. Its description in RNAcentral is "bacterial SSU rRNA". It matches the Rfam family "Bacterial small subunit ribosomal RNA", at positions 777 to 1304 of the family's 1533-position model. The record is from RNAcentral.
AAUAGAUACCCGGGUAGUCCAUGCCGUAAACGUUGGGCACUAGGUGUGGGGUCCAUUCCACGGGUCCUGUGCCGUAGCAAACGCAUUAAGUGCCCCGCCUGGGGAGUACGGCCGCAAGGCUAAAACUCAAAGAAAUUGACGGGGGCCCGCACAAGCGGCGGAGCAUGCGGAUUAAUUCGAUGCAACGCGAAGAACCUUACCAAGGCUUGACAUGCACCGGAAACAUCCAGAGAUGGGUGCCCCGUAAGGUCGUGCACAGGUGGUGCAUGGUUGUCGUCAGCUCGUGUCGUGAGAUGUUGGGUUAAGUCCCGCAACGAGCGCAACCCUCGUCCCAUGUUGCCAGCGAGUCGUGUCGGGGACUCAUGGGAGACUGCCGGGGUCAACUCGGAGGAAGGUGGGGAUGACGUCAAAUCAUCAUGCCCCUUAUGUCUUGGGCUUCACGCAUGCUACAAUGGCCGGUACAAAGGGCUGCGAUGCCGCGAGGCGGAGCGAAUCCCAAAAAGCCGGUCUCAGUUCGGAUUGGGGU